This 1113-nucleotide long non-coding RNA is filed under the name Callithrix jacchus (white-tufted-ear marmoset). RNAcentral describes it as "lncRNA (ENSCJAG00000069769.1)". Lineage: Eukaryota; Metazoa; Chordata; Mammalia; Primates; Cebidae. The record is from RNAcentral.
AUGCUUUUCAAAUCUGUUUCUUCAAAUGAUGGUGACAAAAAGGCAGAAGCUUUGCCAGCCUUUCCCAGGGUGUGCUAUUGUGUUGCACUUUUCCUGCUGGAGCCCUGGCUGCUGCACGUUCCAUGGAGACUCCAAUGCACAGGGAACAGAAGUCUCCUCCUUUAUUGCAGAAAUUAUCCGGAAAGUGACACUGAGCAUGAUCUGCUUCCAAAAUGCCACACCACAUGCCCAGCUCUCUCUGCCAGCUGUCCUGGCCUCCAGCAACCCCGCCUCAGCAUCCCCGUGGGAGUUUCAUGCAGAGAGCUUGCAAUAAUCAAACAGGAAGGGGAUGCAAGGCGAUCAGUACGUGGAUUUGACAAUGACAAAGUGGUUCACUCAGAUUCAAGGAUAUCAAAGAAAGGCCUAAGUACCUGAGAUCUCAUUUCAAAUCAGUUUGGAUGGUUACAUUUCACUGAGGUUGGGAACACAGAUAAUCAGAUCUGCUCCAGCAUUGCUCUAAUUUAGUUAAAAACAUUUCUAUCAAGGACAGGUGUACCAUGAAGUUACCGAGGCUUGAGCUUCAGGGACCCUGAUUCCAGGCCCAUCCUCAGGUCCUGGGGGGCACCCUGCAAUGUGUUUCUGUUCAUUCGAAGCAAAUAUACACGAUUAUUCCUUACUUUCAUUUGUAAUGUUAUGCGCUUAUUUUAAUAAAGACUCUCUCGUGAUAUAUUUAAGCUCCACAAGGAAUGAAGGGGCAAGAUGACGAAUCUUAUUUGAAUAUGAGAGCUUAGUUGUAAAGACGUCUUCCUCUGAAUUAUGAGAGAGGAACUGUGUGUGUCCAGGUUUGUGUAUUAGGGUGUUGUGUGUCUAUGUAAGGGAGUGAAUGUGAAUGUGAAUGUGAAUGUGCGUAAGGGCAGGUGUGUGUGUGUGUGUGAGAGGUAGGUGCUUGUGUGUGUGUGCAAGGCAGGUGCUUGUGUAAGGCAGGUGUGUGUGUGUGAGGUAGGUGCGUCUGUGUGUGUAAAGCAGUGCAUGCUUGUGCUUCAGGCAGGUGCUUGUGUGAGUGUGUAAUGUAGAAGCCUGUGUGUGUGUGUGCCCUCAUACACCAUGGGGUAGAAGAGGAAGAAUAACCACAGG